UCUUCAACAGCAUGGACAUGAAAGAUCUCUUCCAUUUCUGCUGGGCAUCUCACAUUACUUACCAGUCCUUUAAAGGCAAGUUAAGGACAAUUUUCAUGUCCUACUUCUCUGAAGGAAACAUGUGGCUGGGUAUAUUAUCGGAGCAUUGUAAAAGAAGAGCAAUUCUUUACCAACUCAUGGAAAAACAAUGUGUUUUUGUUCUUGGCCAGAUUCCCCAAAGAGAAUUUAAUUUCAAGACACCACUGACAGUCCGAGAGGAUCCAGCUGCUGGUUGUACCUGGAUUUGAACUCCAGAAGAUAACAGAGCUUUGGUUAAGAGUUUUAGUCACCAUGCACUGUUUCAUCUUGGAAAACACAUACCAAAAGAAAACUGCUCCUAAGUGACUGCAACUGCACAGGUAUCAAAACAUGCCAAUAGCAAGACUAACAUUUCCCAGACCAAAUGUUCAAAACUGUUUCUAUUUUAUCUGAAUAAAAAUACCUGUAUGCUCCUCCAUCCUCCAGCAUGCAAAUCUUAAAAAUACCUUUUCUUGUUUGUCCCCCACAGGGAGCAAUUCAAGUCUACCAAACAGUCUAGCAAAAUAUUAUGAUAACCUUUUCUAUCCUAAUUUGUACUGGAGGCUGUGUGUGUGCUAGGAUCAACAUUAAUUACUGUAU
Molecule: long non-coding RNA, 657 nt
Filed under: Ficedula albicollis (Collared flycatcher)
Lineage: Eukaryota; Metazoa; Chordata; Aves; Passeriformes; Muscicapidae
Description: lncRNA (ENSFALG00000024425.1)
Source: RNAcentral